AAAUGUUAACGGAAUGGUGGCCGCUUUUAGAUGAAAGGAGUGCCUGGCGUCCGUUAGCUUGUUAGGUGGACGACAUUCGGAAGACUGCGGGUCACUUCUGGAUGAGAUUGGCUCAGGACCGGGACAAGUGGCGUACUGGAAGAGAGGCCUAUGCUCAACAAUGGGCGAUAAAAGGCUGAUAUGAUGAUGAUGAUGAUGACAACACGUCAGAUGGCAGUCGCUUUCGUAAAAACUAGUGUCUACGCCAAUUCUUGGGAUUAGUUGCCAAGCGGACCCCAGGCUCCCAUGAGCCGUGACAAAAUGCCGGGACAACGCGAGG
Molecule: long non-coding RNA, 319 nt
Organism: Cydia strobilella
Lineage: Eukaryota; Metazoa; Arthropoda; Insecta; Lepidoptera; Tortricidae
Exons: 2
Source: RefSeq, a predicted model, not a curated record